This 200-nucleotide ribosomal RNA is filed under the name uncultured organism. RNAcentral's name for it is "partial small subunit ribosomal RNA". It matches the Rfam family "Bacterial small subunit ribosomal RNA", at positions 1183 to 1382 of the family's 1533-position model. The record is from RNAcentral.
CGUCAAAUCAGCACGGCCCUUACGUCCAGGGCUACACACGUGUUACAAUGGUCACUACAAAGGGCAGCUACCGGGCGACCGGAUGUUAAUCUCGAAAAGUGGUCUCAGUUCGGAUUGAAGUCUGCAACUCGACUUCAUGAAGCUGGAUUCGCUAGUAAUCGCGCAUCAGCCACGGCGCGGUGAAUACGUUCCCGGGCCUU